This 193-nucleotide unclassified non-coding RNA is filed under the name uncultured Ceratobasidium. Its description in RNAcentral is "sequence contains ITS1". The record is from RNAcentral. Lineage: Eukaryota; Fungi; Basidiomycota; Agaricomycetes; Cantharellales; Ceratobasidiaceae.
AUGAAUGAAUGUAGAGUUGGUUGUAGCUGACCUCCUAGAGGUAUGUGCACGCCUACUCUUUCAUCCACACACCCCUGUGCACUUGUGAGACAGAGGCAUUUUUUCCUUUAAUUAGGGAAUGGGUCUCUGUCUACUAUCACAUAAAAUCUAAUUUAUUUAAAACUGAAUGUAAUUGAUGUAACGCAUCUAAUAC